Hydractinia symbiolongicarpus is the source of this 742-nucleotide long non-coding RNA. RefSeq lists it as uncharacterized. The record is from RefSeq and is a predicted model, not a curated record. The transcript is spliced from 2 exons. Lineage: Eukaryota; Metazoa; Cnidaria; Hydrozoa; Anthoathecata; Hydractiniidae.
UUAGGCUUGCAACUUGUUCAGCAAAUACAAAAAUAUGACUUCUUCCAGAACGAGGGUAUGAUUGAAUAAUGAAAUACUUCUUAUUAAAUUAAAGUCAGGCGUCAUUUACAAAUAUAAGUGCAGUGUCUGCACCGCCACUUAUAUAGGUGAGAUGUCGCGUCAUCGUAACAACUGGUAUUUGCUAGAGAUUAAAGAGAUUUUGUUCAUAAUGCAGGAUAGUCCCCAGUUGAAUAACAACAUUAGAUCUACUCCAUUGUAUUUAUACAAUUAGUAUUUAAUCUGUAACUAUGGUUACUGUUAAACUUGUAUAUACUUAGGAAAACUUUGUACUUCGUCGCAAAUAAUGUAGUUUUUUUGUUGUCAAAUACUUCUUAGUUCAGCCAACUGCAAAUUCCCUCCACUGCGAUGCGAUUCAUAUAAAGAAUAUUUUUUAUAUCAUAUGAAGUAUUUAUGUAUUAUACUGAAUAGUUCUUUUUUCUCAAUCGUUAGUGUACGUUAGCCCUAAUUCAUUUGGAUUUUUUUAUCAAACUAUCUCCAGAGGAAACUAAUGAUAGGAUAAUAAUGUGAUGAAAUUUAGUGAAAUGAUUAAAAUUUAUAGGAGCAACAAAAAUGCGGAAAACGCUUAUGUUACUUUAUCUAUGACGUCAUCAAGAUUCCGAAAAAUAACGAGAAUAUAUGUGUUCACUUAAGUCUUCGAGUUCUGAAUCGAAAUUUCAAGUUCUAGUUAAACACUCAACUGAGA